Molecule: long non-coding RNA, 1454 nt
Organism: Poecilia latipinna (sailfin molly)
Lineage: Eukaryota; Metazoa; Chordata; Actinopteri; Cyprinodontiformes; Poeciliidae
Exons: 2
Source: RefSeq, a predicted model, not a curated record
CUGAAGGCCCUAACUGUGCACCUCCAUGUUGACAGGUUGAUUACAGUGAGGACGAGGUUAAUGAUUGGACAUCUCAAAGAUCCACCAAGAAUAUCACUGAGGUGAAAGAGCUCCAGCCUAACAUGCUGUACAGAUUCAGGGUGGCUGCAGUGACCAGUCGAGGUGUUGGGAACUGGACUGAGAUUAAAUCCAUCACUCCCCAGAAAGGUAUGCUGAUAUUCUCUUGACAAGAUCAGGUAAACUCAGUUCUUACAGUUGUGUAACACUGACAUCUACUGACCCAGAUGUUACAAACAUUUCAGCAGGUAUACUGGAGCUUUUGGUUUUAUGAAAUUUUACUGGAUUCUGAUUGGUGCACCAUUCAACGACCGGAUAUCUAAUCCAGAUGUUUUAAUAAAGUCAGAUUAAAAUGAAGUCAGUCUUUUCUCAUUGAAUACUGCACAAAUUCACUAUCUUACAAACAGUGGCGCAAAAAGUGGGCAGCGCAUGCGAUGCAUAGGGGCGCUGCACCAGAGGGUUGGUCAAAACCCCGUCUGGAGGGGGCGCGCCGAUAAUGCCUUCGAAUACACUUCACCGCGCCCUUACGCUCCUUCACAUGUAAAUGUAAAUGUAGCGAGUUUGUGUGUGGGGGCAAGGGGGGAUAGAGCGAGCAUAUGUUUUCCACGCUCCUUCACUCUUACGUACCUUCCUUGGGGGGCUGGGGGAGGGUGCGAUUUAUGUUUUCGCAUCCACCUGAAUAAUCUGUAGUUGCGCCCCUGCUUACAAAUUAAAAUGAGACGUGAAAUGUGGGGCGUUAUCCAGGCAAAUUUAAUUACUUUCUUUCUUUCCUGAUUUUUAACAAAACAAUGAGCACCAUACAUAGACAUUCAAGUCAUACUUGAAACAGUACUUUGGAGAAUAAACACAAAUUAAUAAAUGGCAAAAGAAGAACCAAAAAUAAAACAAGACACAAACAAAAACCCAGCAAUUAUUUCCAUAAGUACAUGAAUAAAAAGCAGAUAACUAAAAAAUAAAUAAACAGAGGCAACAGAAAGAAAAUAAAAUAUAAAUUAAACAGAAAACAACUAAAAUGGGGCACUUAAAGGACUCAACGUAUCCUGUGCUACUAAAAUUGUUAUAAGACUUAGGUAAAGGGUGUAUGCCAUUACAACUGGGAAGCAAGGGGAGCACCACUCACGGGGUCACAUUGAGUGGCAAAGACCUAACUUGGUCCAGAAACGGUGACCAGAUUCUUCAAAAUGUGAUUUCAGAGCCUUUGAAAGUUUGCCUAAUUUUUUCCAGUUUCAUGAACGAAAGGGCAUCUUUUAUCCAAUGAGAAUGAGAGGGUGGGAGCAUGAUGGGGUGGCAGCAGGGGUGAAAGUAGGCGGGUACGGUCGGGUACUGCGUACCUCUAAAAGAUUUAGUGGGGAUACGCAGUACCUGCAAGAGAGGGGAGCGGCUGUCUGCUGUAAAAA